GAUGACUUAACUCAAUUGGCAGAGUGCUAUCCUGAUACGAUAGUAGUUAAAGGUUCAAGUCCUUUAGUCAUCA
RNAcentral lists this transfer RNA (73 nucleotides) under Ferruginibacter sp. RNAcentral describes it as "tRNA-Ile". It matches the Rfam family "tRNA". From Rfam's summary of the family: Transfer RNA (tRNA) molecules are approximately 80 nucleotides in length. Their secondary structure includes four short double-helical elements and three loops (D, anti-codon, and T loops). The record is from RNAcentral. Lineage: Bacteria; Pseudomonadati; Bacteroidota; Chitinophagia; Chitinophagales; Chitinophagaceae.